This 406-nucleotide ribosomal RNA is filed under the name uncultured Enterobacteriaceae bacterium. RNAcentral's name for it is "bacterial SSU rRNA". It matches the Rfam family "Bacterial small subunit ribosomal RNA", at positions 356 to 774 of the family's 1533-position model. Lineage: Bacteria; Pseudomonadati; Pseudomonadota; Gammaproteobacteria; Enterobacterales; Enterobacteriaceae. The record is from RNAcentral.
GGGGAAUAUUGCACAAUGGGCGAAAGCCUGAUGCAGCGACGCCGCGUGAGGGAUGACGGCCUUCGGGUUGUAAACCUCUUUCAGCAGGGAAGAAGCGAAAGUGACGGUACCUGCAGAAGAAGCACCGGCUAACUCCGUGCCAGCAGCCGCGGUAAUACGGAGGGUGCAAGCGUUAAUCGGAAUUACUGGGCGUAAAGCGCACGCAGGCGGUCUGUCAAGUCGGAUGUGAAAUCCCCGGGCUCAACCUGGGAACUGCAUUCGAAACUGGCAGGCUUGAGUCUCGUAGAGGGGGGUAGAAUUCCAGGUGUAGCGGUGAAAUGCGUAGAGAUCUGGAGGAAUACCGGUGGCGAAGGCGGCCCCCUGGACGAAGACUGACGCUCAGGUGCGAAAGCGUGGGGAGCAAACA